RNAcentral lists this long non-coding RNA (203 nucleotides) under Gossypium barbadense (sea-island cotton). RNAcentral's name for it is "long non-coding RNA (GBAR_LNC013273)". Lineage: Eukaryota; Viridiplantae; Streptophyta; Magnoliopsida; Malvales; Malvaceae. The record is from RNAcentral.
UCGAAUCUGUGCUUAGAAACUGGAAGACUUCUAGCCUUCGACUUGUACACUGCCAAAUCAAAACUAACCCGGGUCUGAUUUUCACGAACACAGUGCCCUAACUUUUCAAAACCUGCAUCCAAAAGAGAACCUCUCUUCAACGAAACGGUCAUACAUUUUUCCCUCCUAUGACCAAGUUGCCUCCGCUCCAAACGAGUUGACUU